GUGUAGUAAUAGCUAUAUAGUUAGCCUAAAUAACAGGAAGUAUGUUUCUAUUAUAGUGAAAAUAAAACAAAACAUUAGACUUGGAUUCAAAGGAUAUGAUUCUGAUUCUCAUCCCUGUUUACAACUUGUAUGGUACUUCUCAGUGUGGUCAGAUGGAUCCCUGGGGGUCUCCACAGCCUUUUCAAUGGGUUUGUGAGGCCGAAUCUAUUUUCAUAAUAAUGCCGAAAUGUUUUUAAUUUCAGAUAUAAUAAAAAUCAAUAGACAUAAUCCACAUAAAUAAAUCCUCAAAUUCUAAGAAUAUAGUGGUCAGUUUGAGAACUACUAGGAUAGAUGUUUUAAAGUCUCUUCCAGCUCCAAGUCAUAUGAUCUUAUGAAAAUUUCAAUUUUUUCUUAGCAGCAGAUAUUUCUCCCAGUGUUCUCCAAUAUUAUUAAGUCAGUGACUUGAGUUCUUGAUUUUUAUUAGGUUAUUCCUAAACUGACCAUUUUGUUCAUAAUCUAAUGACUUAUUUAUUUAAAUCCCAGAAGUCAAGAGUUCAAAUUUAUUUUGUAACCUUUCACCUAUCCAUAAUGAUGAUUCAGAUUAUAUAGACAUAAUCCAUAAUACCUUGGAUCCUCUAUAUUACAUGAGCACAAAAUUCAGUUCACUUACAAGACAGAUCUCUCUUGAAUCCUAAGCAGAGGGGUUUAUUAUUGCAAAUGACAGAUGGAUCCUAUUAGAACAAUGUCUUAUUUCUAAGAACAAUGUUCUUUUCUACAGUUUGCUGGAACAAAAUUGCUUUCUAAUACAUGAAUUUCUUUUAAAGGAAGUACUAUUUCUAUAACAUAUAGGAAAAUAGACUUUACAAGUUACAACUGUUUGUAUCUUUUAGACUGUAUGUAGUCUAACCUUAUAGUAAUGGAGAGUUUUCACAGUGGGAGUUUCCCUGCAUGAGACAAUUACAGGGCUGGCCUCCCCCCAAUAUAGAUAAGAUAGAUUUAUGCACAGACACAAUUCCAAUUCCAGUGCUUACGGUUUAACUUCACCUAGAAAAUCACUGAUUUAACUUUUUAAUAGUUUGAAAUCAAGCCAGAAAUAGCCAGAGGAAAGAGAGAGAGAGAGAGAGAGAAAGAGAGAGAGAGAGAGAGAAAGCUAAGAUGGAGAUGUUUUUCUUAUUAAUGGUAAAAAGGGGAAAGAAUCUUCUCUUUGAAUUUGCACACAAUUUGAAAUCAUUCCGAAAGUGGAAGUAGCAUUCUGUUCAGCUGACAAUGCAAUUUGGAGAACUUAAACUACAAUUGCCAUUUAAGAAUUAAUAACUGAUUGGCCAACUAUAACAGCAUACAUACACACACACACACACACACACACAUAUACAUAUAUAUCAUGCCAGAUUCCCCCAUCCCAGCAUAUAGAUAUCAGAAUGAGGAUAAAUACAUAUUUGCAUAUAUCCAUAGGUAUACAAUAUGGUGCACAUGUAGACAUGUAUGUAAAUGCACAUGUAGACACAUCACAUAUAUUUGCAUUCAUUUUAAUGACCGUUAAUGCUUUUCUGCUUUGCCAGGUUAUAUGAUUAUUAUGUAUCUAUAUGUAUCUAUAUGUAUCUAUAUCUAGGUAUUCAAAAACUGUAAGAUAGUAUAAACGCAAGCAUAUAUGUAUUAUUUGUAAGGAAAUAGCCCUCAGAAUGCAUACACAUGCGUGUACAACGUAUAUACACGCACAUCUGCAACGGCUUAUAUGAUGCCCAAUAUUCCCCAAAUCUUGCUUUUUCACUAAGCAUUGCUUGCACAAAGCACUCUCCAGGUCCACGCGGAAACCACAUGGUGUAUCUACAUCAUUUUAAAACUCUCAGGCAAGCUGCCUACUGCAACAUGGCUCACAUGCUCAUUCUGAACUCCUAUCUACUGCUUGUAACAAAUCCAUCGGGCAAAAUCACUCCCUUUCAAUCAGUCUGGGCAUCCGAUUUUUAAAAAAUUAUAAAAGCUACGGACCCUCCCCCUCUACCAUUUAGGAUCAGAAGGGGGGAAGGGAGUAGGGUAGGGGUGGUCGGUGGCGUAGGUGGAAGUGUUUCCAUCCUGGGUGGGAGGCUGGGAUCAGAGCCAAAGACAGCCUUCCUUACAGGACAGGUCUAAGCAGCGCCUCCUCCUUUGUUCUUUCUCCCUCUGAUGCUGCAUCUGCUUUUCUAUUCUCCAGCCCCGGCCGCCUGUGGGAAAUUUGCUGGUUUGCUUUUUUUUUUUUUUUUUUUUUUUUUAACUAAGUUGGAUUCUUUUCCUUUUCGGUUCCAUCUUGUUCCCCUAGCCGAUACCGCCGGUUCUACCGACACCCCCUCCAACUCCUCCCCCGGGAGACGUGGGGGCGGGGGCGGGAUUAGUCGAGGUGAGGGGCUCUUCACCUAGGUAGCCUAUCCUAGAUCUGUACUGCCCCGGAGUCCAGGGGCGCGCGCCAGCAUUUUUUUGCUCAAAAUGGUCAAUAGAGACGAGACUGAUCCUCCUCUCUCCCAGUCCAUCCCAAUCCGGGGAUGCGGAAGGAUGGGGCUCCCUGGGGACUGGGUUCCUCUCUGGACCUCUCGUAGUCUGGGCCGUUGUCCCCCCUCACCCCGGGAAGAGGAAGGUGGAUUGCAAAAGCGAAACUUGGGCAAAACGGCGACCGCCUCUCCAGCUCACGCACUUUGGGGGUGCCCAGCUCUCUCGGCCGGCCCGGUUUUGCAUUCCACUCCAGACCACCCGAACUCCAUCGUGCGUGUGUGUGUGUGUGUGUGUGUGUGCGCGUGUGUUGCCCUGCUUCACAGAUUCACCGUGUGUCCCAC
RNAcentral lists this long non-coding RNA (2780 nucleotides) under Sarcophilus harrisii (Tasmanian devil). Its description in RNAcentral is "lncRNA (ENSSHAG00000032036.1)". Lineage: Eukaryota; Metazoa; Chordata; Mammalia; Dasyuromorphia; Dasyuridae. The record is from RNAcentral.